GAUUGCUCCAUCUAAUGACAAAGGAGAUUAGAAGAGUUGAUUACCUUAAAAUUACAAACGGUCUCUUCUUUAUUUAGCUAGAUACAUAUAUAGGGUAGAGCCCUUGAAAAGGGACUAGAGAUUUUGGGUGGCUCAAUGCUUGGGUGUCCAAUCUGGCACACCAUAAAGGUGCCAUGCUUUUGGAGGGUGAGUACUCAGCACUUUCUGGAAAAUGAGGCUCCCUUUAACAUAUCUGAAGUUGAGCCCCCCAAAACAGUCAUCUGAAAAUACGGGUCGCUCUUAACCGUGUGGGUCUAAGCCCCCAUUGCUGCUGUACCUGAACACCCUGAAUAUAAUAAGAAACGCAACCACAAGAGCUGUUUGAUUCUUACUUAUUGAAUGUGCUAAUUGACAAAUGUUUCUCAUUAUUCAUUGAUAAAGCUACUGCCUUUUUUCCUUCUUCUUCUGCCUUUUCCCAGUAUUUAACUAGCCUAGCAGGGAGCUGUCCUCUUCUGGAUCCACGAUUGAGACACUGGGAAAUGCAGCUCACCACUGGGGUGCCUGGGGGAAGUCUAUACUCUCAAAAGCUGCUAACUAAACUCUUUUAAAUGAAUGAAAAUAAGUUUUCCAUUUUAAGUAAAUGAGUUAAUUCAACAGGGGUCAAACCCCUGUUUUAAAAAUAAAUAGAAUUGGUCAGCCAGUCACUUGGAGAAUGAGCUUCUCCCUUCUUUUCAAAUGGUGAGCUAUAUUGCCUGGGCCUGAUCCUUCUCUCAGUUCCACCAGUGUUGACUCACUAACUCAGGUGUAAAAGAGAUCAGAUCAUCUUUGCCUCAAUCUGCUUCCUAGUGGGAGGUUGUCUCUAAUGUACCAGCAAGCUGCCAAUCCCUAGUAAAGGAGUCACUGGCACCAUGCACUGAAUGGAGGUGCUGAAACAGCAGCAGAAAGUUUUAAAAGUAGAUUGGACAUUCAUUUAAUAUGUAAUAGGUAUCCUUAUUUGGGGCCUGGUUCUCCUCUCAUUGACACCAUUGUAAAUCAGGAGUACCAUUCACUUUGAUAAAAAGAACAGGAGUACUUGUGGUACCUUAGAGACUAACAAAUGUAUUAAAGCAUAAGCUUUCGUGAGCUACAGCCCACUUAAAUGGAGUUACACCAGAGUAAAACUGGUGUGAGAACAGAAUCAAGCCUUUUAUUAAGUAUUUCUCCAGAUACCUAAGGGAUUAUAUGUAAUCACUGCAGUUUUCUUUUAAUAGAAGGAAAAACAGAGCCCCAUAUCACAUGGCCAACUCUCAUAAUCAGUAGGCUGUGGAGGGGAAAACACCCCAUAGGAAGAUUUGAACCAACGUCCCUAGGUUUGUAACGUAACCCAAGGGAUCACUAGACCACCCCAUAGCAGAUAAGAAAUAAGGUGUUUGGGAAGCAAAUGAGCUGAAUUUUUAUACUGAAUAAGCACAGUUAUGUAGCACAGAUGUUUCUGCAAUUAUACUAGUGCUGGGAAAAUUCAGGGUUGACUGUCCUUUAAACUUUUACUUCCUCCUUUAGCAUGGUAUUACAGUGUCAGUAUGCUCAGUAUUAAUAACAACACAGGCAGGAGUACAGUGGCCUGCUGAAUCCCCACCAAAGGUAGUUGUCUUGCAUUGCUUGUGCAACUUUUAUCAUUGUCUUUAUUUAGCAUGUAAAUGAAACAGCUUGUGACAGGUCCCCCCUCCAAGGGUGCCACCUGGAACUGAGGUACAGCUGAGCCCUCCGUUUCACCAAUCUGGGAUCCCUCUUGCACUGUGAGGUUGUAACAAGCUGAAAAGCCCUACAAGCUUGCACUCACAGCAACAUCCACAGGCAAGGACUACCCUCAGCUGUGUUCACCAGCUCCCCAGCCUAAGACCCCAGAGCUGUACCGUUCUGCCCUGGUCAAGACCUAACCUGUAUGAAUUUAUUACCCAGUCCACCACUUCUACAAAGGAAAGAAGAUGUAAACCAAUUCUUGUUCGUGAGCUGAGAUUUAUCCACUUUGUACUUCAAACAACACACAGUGUUUUAGGCCUUGUUACAAAGACACAAACUUCACCACAGCUGCAGAAGAGGGUAACCAGUCCUCUGUAUUAUCAGCAGAGCUUGGAGUGUUGGGGAUAAAACCACCUGGGAGAAAACAAUAGCACCCGUGUAAGAACAUUCCAGUACACACCUGAAAGAUGGCAGAAAAUAAGGCUAUUGGUCAAUGGAUGCCACAGAUCAUAGCUUCUGAGGACCACAACUGCAGAUACUGAACCUAAGGUGGGACUAUUGAGGGUAAGCUGCUUGGGUCACAGACUGCCUUCCGUUCUAUGUUUGUAAAAUGCCACCGCACAAUGGGGCCCUGCUUGGUACUACCAGAUUACAAAGAGUAAAUAAUAAACAAAAGUGAUGGGGCAUAUUGAUUGAUUGUUCUCCACAUCCCUGAAGGCAGGACAAGAAAUAAUUAGUUUAAUCUGCAGCAAAGGAGAUUGAGGUUAGAUAUUAGGAAAAAACUCCCUAACCAUAGGGAUAUUUAAGCUCUGGAAUAGGCUUCCAAGGGAGUUUGUGGAAUCCCCAUCAUAGAAGGUUUUUAAGAACAGCUUAGACAAAGACCUGUUAGGGAUAGUCCGUCCUGACUCAGGUGACCUCUUGAGGUCCCUUCCAGCUCUACAUUUCUAUGAUUGGGCCCACAGGUACUUCUUUAUGGCUGGCUCUCUGUAAUACCAUUAAUUUCACUGGAAGUUUUUAAAUUUAAUUAUGGA
This is a non-coding RNA of Chrysemys picta bellii (western painted turtle), 2729 nucleotides long. NCBI's taxonomy places the organism in Eukaryota, Metazoa, Chordata, Testudines, Emydidae. The record is from RefSeq and is a predicted model, not a curated record.